AAGGUAUAAUAGAUGCAACCCCAUAGGGGUCUCACAGCGAUUUCAGCUUCUAGACCGUCGGAUCUUGUCAGCAGUUGUCAGCCAGUGAAUCUCGUCCGUUCCUUUUGGGCAGCAACCCGUCCUCUGGUUGGCUGCGUGGGCGUUUUCCCACUGGUUCCCCUCACUAGAGAAAGCCAUGGAACGGUGCUGGUAUACCCACUAUGGCUGUAUCUAGGUCCCACGUUCGGUUGGGUCCGCUCGCCAGUCGCUGCGUGUGGAUUUUGGGUUAGUCGUGCCUAGCUUUGACCCGUGGAAAAUAUCUUCUCGCCAAGGGGUCAUUUGGGUUUUUCGUCUCUCUACAUCCUAUCCCCACUCCGCCGAUCUCCCCAAUCCCCGUGUCCCGCAGCUCCCCCAAUGCGCGCCUCCUCCAAUCCCAUCCUCCUCCAAUUACCUCACGCCGCCGGCACCAGUUUGCCGCGCCGCCGCCGUCGGGAGGAAGCACUAGACUACCUUUCCCCCAACUCGCAGCAGCCGCCUGGCUCUCCCACAUUCAUCACCUCCCCUGAUUUCUUCCUCCUCCUGGCCCAAACCAUUAGCCUCCAUGUUGCUGUUGCACUCGUCCCCGUCGAGCUCCGCCUCCUUCAGCUUGGUAAGGGAUAAGGGAAUCGGCCGUUGGAGAAGGAUUCGGCGGUGCCAUGGUGGGGAUUCAUGGCAACCUCACAGAGGCGGGAGCCGCUACCGGCGAUGGAGAGGUGGAGCUCCACCGGCAAUGGCAUGUUCAGAUCGUUAGCAGAAGCACACUUAGCAGAGAUCUAUGGUGACCGACAAGGAGGAGAGGGACAGGACGGGGAAGAAGCCCCGCAUCCUCAAUGAUGAAGAAAAUGGGGAGGAUGCAAAGAUUGGCUUCAUCCAAGAGCUGCAGGUUUCUCUCUCUCUGGAUCCCCUUCUUCCUGAUGAACCAACUUGGUGCAGAUUGUUGUAUCCUUGGCCGGGAAAGGAGAUGUGUGAAGGUGCUUUUGCACAUAUUUGGGUUUGGCAUGUGAUUAGCUGUGUCCACUUCGACAGCAGUAUGAGGAGUGAGGUGUGCAAUUGCUCCUAGGUCCUAGCGGUUCAACUCAGAGAAUUGCGGCUGCAACAGGCACGCCGAGCCUGAUGGAGAGGGCUUGUUGUCGGAUGAUUUGGUUAGUGGGGUGGUCGACCAGCCUGGUGCCGAGAAGGCUCUACAUAUCAUAUCCUCUCCUACAUCGUUCUUCAUGGUGACGGUUGAAGAAGCAAAGGUGUCGGUUAUGCUGCCAGUAGCAGCAGGUGAGUUGUUCUGCUGCCAGUAGCAUCAGGUGGAUCACUAGCGUUGCUGGUUUGGCUGGAGAUGGCAGGGGCACGAGGAGGAGUGAGUGGUCGUGGCCAGCGUUCGGCCACUAUCAGCGCAGGCGAAGGUGGAGCAAUGGUGGAGAUUGCGGCAUUGCAUGAAGUGAACUCUAAAUGCUAUUAUGUGCCAUCAGCCUUCUCAUGCCCACCAGAAUAGAAAGUUUGAUGUUAUCGUACAAACACAAGUUCCUCCAUGUUGAAAGUUGCUUCAGGAAGGAUAACAGGUUUGCUAUGAACUUUGUCAACAGUUAAAUUCAUGCCUAUUGAACUUGCUUCAUGAAAAAUAGCAGGUAUUACCUGAAACUAGGGUAUUCAGAGAACACCUAAUAUAUAUGUGGACCAGUACUUGUUCUGGUGAUACAAGGUAAAGUUAUUUUUCAGUAACCCUUUCAGAGUAGCUUUUAUGCUUUUCUAAAUAUAUGUGGACAUCUAAAGAAUCAGUGUUUUAUAUAUUUCUUAGUUGUAAUCGUGCAUCAUUGUAUUUCAGUACCAUAGUAAUCAGUUUGUUGUUUAAUUUUUGCUACAUAAAUAUAUGUUAUAUAUAUGACCUAGCGCUCGCAGAUUAUAAAUUCAGAAUCUUUUUGUACUGUUCAUUCUCUUAUCUUCUUCCAAGUUUUCCAGAAAAAUAGUCUACUUUCAUGUCUCGAAGGAGAUACCCAAGCUUCCCAAGAAGGUUUCAUAGAGGUGAGGUAUUUGAACUAGAGAUCUGAUUAUAUGCUUUUAUACAGUCCACAGCCAGUAGCAAUGCAAGUUUUGUGUCUGCAUUUUUUUUUCUAUAUUUCCAUAGAGUUAUACUUUAGUAGUGCGUCUGCCUUAUGUGCCAUUCAGUGUUGAUGAUCAUAGUAUGAAGAAAAUGACAAUUCUUUUAGUAUGGAUUAGUUAAAUUAAACUCAUAAGAAUUUAUUUCAAAACAUGUCUGACAACAUUUUUAGUAGCUGCUCGGUGCCUCCAAAGAUAAACUCAUAUGAAUUUAUUUCCAUUCACACAAGAAAAUGAGGCAUAAUCUGUUUAUCUUCAUGUAUGUAGGAAAAAAAACAUGAUUGCUUGAUUGCAUAAUGUGUCUUUGCGAACAAAUCUGUUACCAUGUUAUGCAUGAAAUUAUUUGUAACUGCAGUUCAGAUGUGAUAGUACCAGGAGCACUUCCGUCAGUAAUCACAAAUGGUUUAGUUGUACUAUUUAUAUGUUAAAAAUCCUGUUCUAUAUCUUGCUUGCUCACUCUUUGGCUAGGCUCAUUUUUUCCCUUGAUAUAUAGAUGCAUGACUCUGCAUAGAACUCAUUACAGACCCUACUGUAUCUUCCAUAAUUACUGCAGCCCAUAUACAAGGUCAUGGAUUUGUUGUCCAUUAUUUGACUAUCUUGACAUAGCAUUAGAUUCUAACGAAUUAUAAUUGAAUUUAUGGUUUUCUCUGUUGCUAGGUCUGGGCAACCUAUCUGAUAAGUUAUUUGAGGAAAUGCCCAUGAGAGAUUAGAAUGCGAGUAUACACACUAAUAAUACUAUGCUUUAUAUCAAGUUAUCAACUAUGUUUGCUCAAAUGAUCCAAGAAAUGAAUGAACAACUGGAAUGCAAAAUAUUUGCUUGAAAGCAGUAGAAUUUUAAUAAAUAAUUUACCUCCUCUAGGUAUAAUCUAAAUCACUGGUUUAUAAAAUGGUUAAAACCCAAAAUCCAAUAUCAAAAUUGGUUGGUGUGUAGCUUCAUUAUGUGCAACCUGAUUGCUGUUCUACCAUGGUGAUGACGUGAAAUAGACCACCUUUUACUAGGCUUUAUUGUUCAAUAGGUAUACGUAAAAGGAUAUUAGUUUCUUGAGGCAUUAAUUCUUGCUGACAGUGGUGAGUUGAGAAAAGUAAGACAUGUGGGCCAUGAGCUCCAAGGUAAUUUUGGGGGAAUUUACAGUGUGUGAACCCCGCCCAUUACUUAUUGCAGUUAUAGGCUAUCUUUCUAUGUAGGCUAUUUUUGUGCCAGCUUUAAGCAUUAUUUCUCUUUGUGUUGUGCCUAUAAUGUGACAAUAUAUGACACUCUACGGUCUCCACUAUUAUGCAGAUCAGUGUCUUAUUGGAAACAAAUGCCCCUACAGAAAACUCAAUUGGCAAAUAGGCAUAUAUUCUAUUUUAUGACUCCUUUCUCAUUAUAUUUCAAUUGUUUUUUUAACUGAUCUACUCUUUUAACGUGGUUCCAUUUUGUAGGUUCCGAUAAAUUUCUGUCUGCCAUGUCUGUCUGUCUGCCGAGUGAUAUUGAAACUUGAAUUUUCAAGUUUGGUGGUUCGGAUUUUAGAAUAUGAUGUGGGUGCUUAUCAGUGAUCUAUGCCUUGAAUCCGUAAAGCAUAUUGUUUGGCAAGUAAAACUGGGGAUACUCCCAUAUUUUCUUAAUUUUCAUCCAAUUAUUUGUUGUAUUCUAAUGUAGUUUUGCAGAUUGAGCUAGAAUUAAUAAUCUAUCACCAAACCUGAGUUCUGGAGCAUGUUUGUUGCUAGCAAGACCAAAACAUGAUUCAAAUGAAACUGUAAACUAACUUACAGAUAACCUCCUUUAUUUCUUCAUCGCUUUGGAAACUCAAGUUGUAAGUGCAUAGUUAUUUACUCGGUGAAAGAAAUUUAGGUCUUCCUUCAGAUUUCUUUUUUGCUUUCUCACUAAUUAUGUCAUGACUUACAUCAUGGUACUUCUGCUAGGUCUUCUAGGACCAAAUCUACAUUACAUUAUUUACAAGUGGCUGUUAAUUAAUAUCGUGUACGACUGUGCUGAGUCUAAAUUAUAGUCAGAUCCAAAUGCAUUGUUUCUUGUUACCGUUCUGAUGCCCCUGUUUUUUACGGCUUGCAGACAUUAUAAUUUCAUUGGUUUACCCCAUUAGGAGUUCUUGAUUUGGCAAAAGUACUGUUUGGUCCUUCUCUUGUAUUCAUGUGACCUGGUACGUUAUCCAUCGAACAGCAACAUCAAAGAUGUCCAGGAUUCAUCCGUGCCGAGAGCUCUCCUCCUGGUUUGAUCUGGAGAGGUAUUUUUUCAAAAUGGGAAUCUAGAGAGCUUGGUUCAACUGUAAUUGAUGAUCCAAAUGAACCACCCACAUCAUCUACCACAGCUUCAACAGAUAAGAGGUGAUAAGAUUGGGCGAGAUAGAAGAGAUCAUGAGAAACAUGAUGAAUAUUACUGCGCCGCUCUUCACCUUCAACUGCGACCUCGCUGAACUCAGGUUUUCUAUCAAACAUUUGUAGACGCAUGCCGCUGUCGCAGAAAGCUCAGGCUCAGCAAGAUGCGCAGGGCAAGAAGACCUAGGUUAGGAGCAUAGUUUCACCAUGGGGGAAGGCAGUGAAAAAAUCAACGGCUCGGAUCGGCUGGUAGAUGAAUUCGAUGUAAAGUAAUAUGUUUAUGCAAUUAUACUUUUUAUGUAUGUUUUAUCUUUGAGGAGUCUAAAAAUGUAUUUAUAUUAUGUGGAGGCAAAUUUUCUUUUGAUAUUCUCACUUCCACAGCUGAUUGGAACUCAUGGUCUCACCUGUUUAUCUAUUGGCCAUGGUGAACCCGAUUCGGAUCAUCCGACUGUUUUAUGCAACUUUGUUGCAUGCAGCCCUGUUAUCAAACCUUGACUCAAUUUAUGUAGAUUGUACUUAGAAAUUCCAUCAUUAUGUUAUGGACUUAGGAGUUAGGACAGCAUUAGUAUUAGAUGAACAAUACCUGUUUUUAUCCAUUUAUGUUGAAAUCUAUGCUACAACAUUAAAUUUAUACACCCUCCAUCAGACGUCUUCAGAAGAUAGUGUCAAAUAACCUAACUCCAAAAUGCAGUUACAUGUACACUCAGUGGCAACCUUGACCUACACAACUUGACACAUACCAAGACUUGAAGCUAACUAGAGUUAGAUUUUGUGUGGACACUUUGCCAAAUUGAUUAAGUUCUUUUGAAGAGAACUGAAACAAUUCCAAGUCAGCGUUAGAAAUACCAGUCAGAUGAGUAACUAAAAUAAGCAAUAUAUCAAACUCUAUCGUCCUUUUAAGAUUGUAUCUUGCAUAUACAGAAUAAGUUGAGUCAAAGGGUAAUGCACAUCGGUCCAAUGACCCAUGUCAUUUUUUAACCUUUCAUUUGUUGAUCUCCUGUUCCGGAGUCAAAAUUACCACUCCAGGGAUGCCCUUGCAGCCAAAUAUUUAUUUAAUAAAUGAUGCGUGUAUUUUGAUUGGGUCACUGCGGUUGUUCAUGGUCUGUAGCUGUGCAAUGACCUUUAUGAUUCAAUGUAACAAUUCAGCCAUGUACUUCUUGGCUUACAGCAUAAGGAAUUAUUUAGGCAGCUCUAGAGUUUGGCAUGCUCCAUCAUUUUGAAUUAUUUACCAUCAGUCUUUGGUCAUGUGUUUACAGAAGAAGAGCAAUCAUAGAUCCUUUAUGUUCUUAAGUAAGUAUAUUAAUCUAUCUUCCUACAUAUUUUUUUAGUGAAUCCUUGUUGCAUAAUACUGGUAACAUAUAUGGUUUGUAUGAACUGACAAAAGAUUGUGAAAUUAUCUUUCUGCUCUAGGUUCAGUGAACUGCACAUUAGUGUGUCGUGGAAGAGCAAUGUGCUUUGCUCUAAAUUUGUACGGCUGAUGCUAUAUGAAAUAUAUUUCUCUACAUUCUAUAUGUCUACUUAUUUGCCCGAGUACUUAUUUUCCAUGUUAUAUUAAUGAUGUUUAACAUAGUGUUUUACCAUCCAUUUGUGAGCUGAUAAUUCUUCUGUGUAUCCAGUAAACUGAAACGGAUAAGUGUUUGUGCUUCAUUUGAUGUUUCCUUAUCAUUAUGCUUAAUGUAGUGUUUUCUUAUCAUAUUUAAUGUGGUGUUUUCUUAUCAUCAUAUUUAAUGUAGGUAUCGCAGUCCAAGGGAGUUUGCAAAAUGUUGUCAAGUUAGCUUGCCACUACCAACACCGGAACUCACUCUGUUAGGCUCUUUGACCGUGCAGUUGUGCUUCUUUGGAAACUCCAUAUUAGCAAUGUCACUGGCAUCUUAUCUGAUUCCUGCAAGAGGCCUUUUUUCUUAUAGACUAUCAUGUUGUUCUGGGGAAAAUCUGAACAUACUCUUCACAGCAUAUAGAGGAAAUGCCCGUUGCAUGGUCUAAGGGAAGUGACCCUGGUGAAAUUUUUAUUUCGUGUAGAUGACAUGCUUGCUGAAAUUAUACUUUUUUUCCUC
This is a non-coding RNA of Lolium perenne, 6470 nucleotides long. Lineage: Eukaryota; Viridiplantae; Streptophyta; Magnoliopsida; Poales; Poaceae. The record is from RefSeq and is a predicted model, not a curated record.